UUCCUGGUGGUUCAGCGGUUAAGACCCUGUGCUCCCAAUGCAGAGGGCCAGGGUUCAAUCCCUGGUCAGGGAA
RNAcentral lists this transfer RNA (73 nucleotides) under Bos taurus (domestic cattle). It matches the Rfam family "tRNA". From Rfam's summary of the family: Transfer RNA (tRNA) molecules are approximately 80 nucleotides in length. Their secondary structure includes four short double-helical elements and three loops (D, anti-codon, and T loops). Lineage: Eukaryota; Metazoa; Chordata; Mammalia; Artiodactyla; Bovidae. The record is from Rfam by way of RNAcentral. RNAcentral also lists the same sequence under 5 other names.